Molecule: transfer RNA, 74 nt
Filed under: Sphaerobolus stellatus SS14
Lineage: Eukaryota; Fungi; Basidiomycota; Agaricomycetes; Geastrales; Sphaerobolaceae
Description: tRNA-Met (CAT) (tRNA-Met-CAT-6-1)
Rfam family: tRNA
About the family: Transfer RNA (tRNA) molecules are approximately 80 nucleotides in length. Their secondary structure includes four short double-helical elements and three loops (D, anti-codon, and T loops). Further hydrogen bonds mediate the characteristic L-shaped molecular structure. tRNAs have two regions of fundamental functional importance: the anti-codon, which is responsible for specific mRNA codon recognition, and the 3' end, to which the tRNAs corresponding amino acid is attached (by aminoacyl-tRNA synthetases). tRNAs cope with the degeneracy of the genetic code in two manners: having more than one tRNA (with a specific anti-codon) for a particular amino acid; and 'wobble' base-pairing, i.e. permitting non-standard base-pairing at the 3rd anti-codon position.
Source: RNAcentral
GCUUCCUUGGGCUCAGUUGGUAUAGCGUUGGUCUCAUAAUCCAAAGGUCGCCAGUUCGAGCCUGGCAAGGAGCA